UUGAAGAGUUUGAUCAUGGCUCAGAUUGAACGCUGGCGGCAGGCCUAACACAUGCAAGUCGAACGGUAACAGGAAGCAGCUUGCUGCUUUGCUGACGAGUGGCGGACGGGUGAGUAAUGUCUGGGAAACUGCCUGAUGGAGGGGGGGAUAACUACUGGAAACGGUAGCUAAUACCGCAUAACGUCGCAAGACCAAAGAGGGGGGACCUUCGGGCCUCUUGCCAUCGGAUGUGCCCAGAUGGGAUUAGCUAGUAGGUGGGGUAACGGCUCACCUAGGCGACGAUCCCUAGCUGGUCUGAGAGGAUGACCAGCCACACUGGAACUGAGACACGGUCCAGACUCCUACGGGAGGCAGCAGUGGGGAAUAUUGCACAAUGGGCGCAAGCCUGAUGCAGCCAUGCCGCGUGUAUGAAGAAGGCCUUCGGGUUGUAAAGUACUUUCAGCGGGGAGGAAGGGAGUAAAGUUAAUACCUUUGCUCAUUGACGUUACCCGCAGAAGAAGCACCGGCUAACUCCGUGCCAGCAGCCGCGGUAAUACGGAGGGUGCAAGCGUUAAUCGGAAUUACUGGGCGUAAAGCGCACGCAGGCGGUUUGUUAAGUCAGAUGUGAAAUCCCCGGGCUCAACCCGGGAACUGCAUCUGAUACUGGCAAGCUUGAGUCUCGUAGAGGGGGGGUAGAAUUCCAGUGUAGCGGUGAAAUGCGUAGAGAUCUGGAGGAAUACCGGUGGCGAAGGCGGCCCCCUGGACGAAGACUGACGCUCAGGUGCGAAAGCGUGGGGAGCAAACAGGAUUAGAUACCCACGGUAGUCCACGCCGUAAACGAUGUCGACUUGGAGGUUGUGCCCUUGAGGCGUGGCUUCCGGAGCUAACGCGUUAAGUCGACCGCACUGGGGAGUACGGCCGCAAGGUUAAAACUCAAAUGAAUUGACGGGGGGCCCGCACAAGCGGUGGAGCAUGUGGUUUAAUUCGAUGCAACGCGAAGAACCUUACACGGGUCUUGACAUCCACGGAAGUUUUCAGAGAUGAGAAUGUGCCUUCGGGAACCGUGAGACAGGUGCUGCAUGGCUGUCGUCAGCUCGUGUUGUGAAAUGUUGGGUUAAGUCCCGCAACGAGCGCAACCCUUAUCCUUUGUUGCCAGCGGUCCGGCCGGGAACUCAAAGGAGACUGCCAGUGAUAAACUGGAGGAAGGUGGGGAUGACGUCAAGUCAUCAUGGCCCUUACGACCAGGGGCUACACACGUGCUACAAUGGCGCAUACAAAGAGAAGCGACCUCGCGAGAGCAAGCGGACCUCAUAAAGUGCGUCGUAGUCCGGAUUGGAGUCUGCAACUCGACUCCAUGAAGUCGGAAUCGCUAGUAAUCGUGGAUCAGAAUGCCACGGUGAAUACGUUCCCGGGCCUUGUACACACCGCCCGUCACACCAUGGGAGUGGGUUGCAAAAGAAGUAGGUAGCUUAACCUUCGGGAGGGCGCUUACCACUUUGUGAUUCAUGACUGGGGUGAAGUCGUAACAAGGUAACCGUAGGGGAACCUGCGGUUGGAUCACCUCCUU
This 1546-nucleotide ribosomal RNA is filed under the name Escherichia coli. RNAcentral describes it as "bacterial SSU rRNA". It matches the Rfam family "Bacterial small subunit ribosomal RNA". Lineage: Bacteria; Pseudomonadati; Pseudomonadota; Gammaproteobacteria; Enterobacterales; Enterobacteriaceae. The record is from RNAcentral.